GUUUUGGACAGGAUGGCAAUACAUAUACUAAAAUUGGAACGAUACAGAGAAGAUUAGCAUGGCCCCUGCGCAAGGAUGACACUUCUCAGUGACAAUAUCUUGACACACUG
Lampris incognitus (smalleye Pacific opah) is the source of this 110-nucleotide small nuclear RNA. The record is from RefSeq and is a predicted model, not a curated record. NCBI's taxonomy places the organism in Eukaryota, Metazoa, Chordata, Actinopteri, Lampriformes, Lampridae.